This 70-nucleotide transfer RNA is filed under the name Sladenia gardineri. RNAcentral's name for it is "tRNA-Tyr". It matches the Rfam family "tRNA". Rfam says of the family: Transfer RNA (tRNA) molecules are approximately 80 nucleotides in length. The record is from RNAcentral. RNAcentral also lists the same sequence under 1 other name. Lineage: Eukaryota; Metazoa; Chordata; Actinopteri; Lophiiformes; Lophiidae.
GGUAAGAUGGCUGAGGUUUAGGCGGUGGGUUGUAGCUCCACGAACAGAGGUUUAACUCCUCUUCUUAUCA